UACGAAGGGGGCUAGCGUUGCUCGGAAUCACUGGGCGUAAAGGGUGCGUAGGCGGGUCUUUAAGUCAGGGGUGAAAUCCUGGAGCUCAACUCCAGAACUGCCUUUGAUACUGAGGAUCUUGAGUUCGGGAGAGGUGAGUGGAACUGCGAGUGUAGAGGUGAAAUUCGUAGAUAUUCGGCGGAACACCAGUGGCGAAGGCGACUCACUGGCCCCGAUACUGACGCUGAGGGCGCGAAAAGCGUGGGGGGAGCAAAACAGGGAUUUAAGAAAACCCCUAGUA
Molecule: ribosomal RNA, 280 nt
Filed under: uncultured bacterium
Lineage: Bacteria
Description: partial 16S ribosomal RNA
Rfam family: Bacterial small subunit ribosomal RNA
Source: RNAcentral